RNAcentral lists this long non-coding RNA (194 nucleotides) under Piliocolobus tephrosceles (Ugandan red Colobus). RNAcentral's name for it is "lncRNA (ENSPTEG00000005102.1)". The record is from RNAcentral. Lineage: Eukaryota; Metazoa; Chordata; Mammalia; Primates; Cercopithecidae.
CCACGCACACUCGGAGGGUUGGGAUUCUGUCUCAACCUUGUUCCUGCAUCAGCCCUGAGGCCAGUCAGUCAGGACAAGCUCAGAAACAAUGCAGGCCUGAAUCCCGGCCGUUUUCCACACGUACAGGCAUGUAUACAUAUUUCAUGGAAAGAAAAUUCUCGUGGACCAGGUCCCUGGCUAGCACCAGGGCUGUC